This 866-nucleotide long non-coding RNA is filed under the name Panax ginseng (ginseng). RNAcentral describes it as "long non-coding RNA (PGIN_LNC016619)". The record is from RNAcentral. Lineage: Eukaryota; Viridiplantae; Streptophyta; Magnoliopsida; Apiales; Araliaceae.
UGAUUCAUGUUAUUUCACAAUUAUUAUAUUGUUGAAAACUUGAAAGCUUAUCCAUUCUUUUCAAUCAUGAUAUAUCUCCUUUGUAUGUAAAACUUGCUGGGCAAAUUUGUUGCUCACCCUUGCUAUAUCAUGAUAAAAUUUUCAGAUUAAGAUGAAGGCUUGAAUAAGGGCAGAGGCAAAGACAAAGUGCAAAGUUUCUUUAUGUUGUAGUUAAAUUUAUUAAAUUUUCUGAUGAAAAUAGUAUUGUAAAUCUUCUAAGAUAUUGAAGGUAUUGUAUUCAAGUAAAGGUUACUCGACCUUGGGGAAUAGUGUGUAAUGUAAUGUAUAAACAAUUUAUGUUUAUAUCUUCCGCAAACAGUUAUAAAAUGAUUAGUAAUAGAAAGAUUAGCGAACCGAAUCCGCGGCGAUUUGGGACCCGGAUUCGGGGAUGCUACAACUUCCUUAAACAUUGCCAAUAAUGCUCUCUAAUAAUAUUAUUCAAAUAAUAUGAAUUAUUGAUCUGAUAAUGGAGAUACUGUGCAAUGACAAUUAUUGAAACAACAAUAAUAUAAAAUAUCAACGCAACAAUUAUUGAAUCAAUAAAAUAAAAUAUUGAACAGGAAUUACUGUAACAAUUAUUGAGUAGUGCCUUCUUACGUAAGAAUCAAUAAAUCAAAAAUCUUGAGCAAAACCGUGUGCUACUGUGCAACCACGCGUAUUACUGUAUUUUAACCACCAGGUAUUCCAACAGUGUUAAUGGUAACCAUUACGCCGUUAUUUAUAAAAUCUCAAACUUGUCGUUUUCUUCAUCCGACAGUUAUCCAUUAUGGGGCCCACAAAUGGCUGCCCCGUCGUACGAAUAUUUUCUGACAGCAAGAAUAUUCCAC